GCAGCCUGAUGCAGCAACGCCGCGUGAGGGAUGACGGCCUUCGGGUUGUAAACCUCUUUUAGUAGGGAAGAAGCGAAAGUGACGGUACCUGCAGAAAAAGCACCGGCUAACUACGUGCCAGCAGCCGCGGUAAUACGUAGGGUGCAAGCGUUGUCCGGAAUUAUUGGGCGUAAAGAGCUCGUAGGCGGUUUGUCGCGUCUGCUGUGAAAACUGGAGGCUCAACCUCCAGCCUGCAGUGGGUACGGGCAGACUAGAGUGCGGUAGGGGAGAUUGGAAUUCCUGGUGUAGCGGUGGAAUGCGCAGAUAUCAGGAGGAACACCGAUGGCGAAGGCAGAUCUCUGGGCCGUAACUGACGCUGAGGAGCGAAAGCGUGGGGAGCGAACAGGAUUAGAUACCCUGGUAGUCCACGCCGUAAACGUUGGGAACUAGAUGUGGGGACCAUUCCACGGUCUCCGUGUCGCAGCUAACGCAUUAAGUUCCCCGCCUGGGGAGUACGGCCGCAAGGCUAAAACUCAAAGGAAUUGACGGGGGCCCGCACAAGCGGCGGAGCAUGCGGAUUAAUUCGAUGCAACGCGAAGAACCUUACCAAGGCUUGACAUAUACGAGAACGGGCCAGAAAUGGUCAACUCUUUGGA
RNAcentral lists this ribosomal RNA (635 nucleotides) under Leifsonia sp. So1Pt_98. Its description in RNAcentral is "bacterial SSU rRNA". It matches the Rfam family "Bacterial small subunit ribosomal RNA", at positions 378 to 1022 of the family's 1533-position model. Lineage: Bacteria; Bacillati; Actinomycetota; Actinomycetes; Micrococcales; Microbacteriaceae. The record is from RNAcentral.